AUUGAACGCUGGCGGCAGGCCUAACACAUGCAAGUCGAACGGUAACAGGGAUCAGCUUGCUGAUUCGCUGACGAGUGGCGGACGGGUGAGUAAUGUCUGGGAAACUGCCUGAUGGAGGGGGAUAACUACUGGAAACGGUAGCUAAUACCGCAUAACGUCGCAAGACCAAAGAGGGGGAACUUCGGGCCUCUUGCCAUCCGAUGUGCCCAGAUGGGAUUAGCCAGUAGGUGGGGUAAAGGCUCACCUAGGCGACGAUCCCUAGCUGGUCUGAGAGGAUGACCAGCCACACUGGAACUGAGACACGGUCCAGACUCCUACGGGAGGCAGCAGUGGGGAAUAUUGCACAAUGGGCGCAAGCCUGAUGCAGCCAUGCCGCGUGUAUGAAGAAGGCCUUCGGGUUGUAAAGUACUUUCAGCGGGGAGGAAGGGAGUAAAGUUAAUACCUUUGCUCAUUGACGUUACCCGCAGAAGAAGCACCGGCUAACUCCGUG
Molecule: ribosomal RNA, 490 nt
Filed under: uncultured bacterium
Lineage: Bacteria
Description: partial 16S ribosomal RNA
Rfam family: Bacterial small subunit ribosomal RNA
Source: RNAcentral